This 1938-nucleotide ribosomal RNA is filed under the name Triticum aestivum (bread wheat). RNAcentral describes it as "partial small subunit ribosomal RNA". Lineage: Eukaryota; Viridiplantae; Streptophyta; Magnoliopsida; Poales; Poaceae. The record is from RNAcentral.
AUGUCAAAACUAGUACAUCAGUUGCCGCGCACAAGGAAAAGGCUGGAUGGGGUAAGCAGGAAGUAUGACAACAACAAUAAUCAUCCAGUAUCAUCUGAUGAAGAAACAUUGCAAGCACGCAAGCGCAGAACCAAAACUAAGGAACUGUCAUUGGAGAAUCUUUCACCGAUCACAUCACAGCAUCAAGAGACUUCACAAGGCACGCAUUCUGACGAUGAGACCAUAGGACAUGUGCUUAGGCGCACAAGGAAAAGGCUGCUUGUGUUAAGCCAUAAGAAUGAUAACGGCGAUAAUCAUUCAAUAUCAUCUGAUGAAGAAACAUUGCAAUUACGUAAGCGCAGAACCGAAACUAAAGAGCUGCCGUUGAUGGAUCUUUCACCGAGUAUAUCACAGCAUCAAGAGACUUCGCAAGGCACAGAUUCUGAUGGCGAGACCAUAGGAUCAAUACUUAGUAGAGGAAAGAAGAAAAGGUUAUCCACAUCAGAUGUUACAGAGAAUAAACAAGAACACCUAGAUUCUUUGAAGAACAUUGGUCUGGGGGUUGAGACUAUCGGUUCAAAUAUGAUAACCAAAAAUAAGGAGCUGCCAUCUGUGGAUCUUGCACCAAGUAUAUCACAGCAUCAAGAGACUUCGCAGGGCACAGAUUCUGAUGAUGCGACCAUAGGAUCUCUGCUUGGUAGAGGAAAGAAGAAAAGGUUAUCAACGUCAGAUAUUACAGAGAAUAAACAAGAAGACCUAGAUUCUUCGAAGAACAUUGGUCUGGGCGUUGAGACUAUCGGUUCAAAUGCCAUAACCAAAAAUAAGGCGCUGCCGUCCGUGGAUCUUGUACCGAGUAUAUCACUGCAUCAAGAGACUUUGCAGGGCACAGAUUCUGAUGAUGAGACGAUAGGAUCUCUGCUUAGUAGAGGAAAGAAGAAACGGUUAUCGACAUCAGAUGUUACAGAGAAUAAACAAGAACACCUAGAUUCUUCGAAGAACAUUGGUCUGGGGGUUGAGACUAUCGGUUCAAAUAUCAUAACCAAAAAUAAGGAGCUGCCAUCCGUGGAUCUUGCACCAAGUAUAUCUGAACAUCAAGAGACUUCGCAGGGCACUGAUUCUGAUGAUGUGACCAUAGGAUCUCUGCUUGGUAGUGGAAAGAAGAAAAGGUUAUCAAUGUCAGAUAUUACAGAGAAUAAACAAGAAGACCUAGAUUCUUUGAAGAACAUUGGUCCCGGCGUUGGGACUAUUGGUUCAAAUGCCAUAACCAAAAAUAAGGAGCUGCUGUCCGUGGAUCUUGUACCAAGUAUAUCACAGCAUCAAGAGACUUCGCAGGGCACAGAUUCUGAUGAUGAGACCAUAGGAUCUCUGCUUAGUAGAGGAAAGAAGAAAAGGUUAUCAACGUCAGAUAUUACAGAGAAUAAACAAGAAGACCUAGAUUCUUCGAAGAACACUGGUCUGGGCGUUGAAACUAUUGGUUCAAAUAUCAUACCCAAAAAUAAGGAGCUGGCCUCGGUGGAUCUUCCACCGGGUAUAUCACAGCAUCAAGAGGCUUCACAGGGCACAGAUUCUGAUGAUGAAACCAUAGGAUCUCUGCUUAGCAUAGGAAAGAAAAGAAGGUUAUCUACAUCAGAUGUUACAGAGAACAGACAAGAACACCAAGAUUCUUCGAAGAACAUUGUUCCGGACAUGGAUACUAUCGGUUCAAAUGUCAUGGACGCCCCUCUCCAUCCGGAGCUGAACUCAUCUAAUGAUAACGUUGGUGAUGCUGAACUUCUGGAUGACUUGAGUGAGCCUGAGCUGGAUGGUCGUGAAGAUACCGAGAAAAAAAUCAUCGACGACAGAGACAUGCCUGAAUCUGGGGACAUGACAGGCUCUAAUGCCGCUGUUUGGAGUAGAUGGUCUGCUACUGCUAUGGUGAGGAGACAUGCUUCUGAGUUUGGGGCUGGAAUUUGGCAGUAA